AGCAUAAACUUUACUUAAACUGUCAAAUACAUGGUUUUAAAGUUAUUUUAUUAAUCUAUCACUAAUAAUUAUUUUUCUUAUCAACAGAGAAAGUGAAGUUUCCUAAGCCAUCACUAGAAUUGGAAACACUAGAUUUUAUAAAUUAAUUUCUUUUCAUUGACCUAAACUCCACAUUUCUGCUGUGUUCAUCUGAGGUCAUGUCCAUAUAGUCAAAUAGCUGAAGGAAAGGUGAUAUUUUUAGUCAAAUCAAACUCCAAACAUCAUUUUUAUCUAAAUUAUCUGGAGAAUUGAAUAAAUAUUUUUUUAAGGCUGUCUGUAGAAGAAAAUUAUGUCAAUUUUUCAUUUAGCUAGAGAGGUCCUGACCACAGUGUCUUCUGUUGAAUUUCUCCUCAAGGUAGGAUUCCAAAAUACCUGGAAAAUGUGAAACAGUGUUCCUCGUAUGGGUAAUGUAGCAUCUUCACAAAAAUUCUGUCAUGAUUCAUUUGAAAAAUAAUACCUUCUCAUGUCUAAAAUAGUUUUUCAUGAGAAAUACAUUCUAUAAGAAAAAAACAAUUGGCCUAUCUUAGAGGAAAAUGCUAUUAAAAAUUGUGUUAUGGAAA
RNAcentral lists this long non-coding RNA (599 nucleotides) under Homo sapiens (human). RNAcentral describes it as "non-protein coding LINC02246:31". The record is from RNAcentral. Lineage: Eukaryota; Metazoa; Chordata; Mammalia; Primates; Hominidae.